Long non-coding RNA from Leptonychotes weddellii (Weddell seal), 306 nucleotides. RefSeq lists it as uncharacterized. Lineage: Eukaryota; Metazoa; Chordata; Mammalia; Carnivora; Phocidae. The record is from RefSeq and is a predicted model, not a curated record.
CCGGCCGGGGCAGUGCGGGAGCGCGCGGCCGACGCCCCCCGGGCUGCAGGGACCCGCCAUUGUCCGGGGGCAGCGGCGGCCCCGAAUCCGAUUUACGGGACGAGAAGGCAUGCAAAGCGAUGCGGUAACUCCCACACAGAGAUGAAGGAAAAUAGAAAAAUAACUCCCUCCAAGCCUCCACUCCAAAACCCAGCCCCCUGCUCCUCCAGGCAGAUCACCUCUCAGCCUGUCUGGAAUACUGGUUGCAGCGCAGCUGAAAGAGCCUGCUCCGUCUUGGGUGGAUUCCUAAGAGUUGAAUUGCUGUGU